AUUAUAUUUCUCUCACAACAACAAAAAACAAACUCGACUUGCCUUGGUGUACGCUGUAUUGGAGGUAAAGAGAGUGUUUUGUUCUUCCGAUUUAGUAUUACACUUCGUUCCUGUCCUGACUGAAUUGUCUUUAAAACUUAAACCAUAUUAUUCAUAUAUGUUUUUCCCGGAAAUAUAAUCUUAUGAUGCAUCGAGUAGUGGUCCUGAGUUUUAUAUUCAUCGUAUUACUUCUCUUCGGUUCUGCCGACAGCCAAGAGGAUCGACAUACGGGGGAAAGAUUGUAUGAUCAGCAAACCUUGAAAGAAAUGAAGGCAUCCCCGCUCAUCAGAAAGAUGAAAAGAUCCAUUGACGACUUUUUGAGCAGACGCCCAGAUUUCAGAAGAGUAUGACAACCUGUCGCACCGUAGAGCAGACAUGGAAAUCGCAACUGUCUACCUUGGCUCUUCCCAACCCUCAUGCUUAUGGGAUUGUUCAUUCAGAGACCGAAAAUAACAGCUGAGCAGAUGAUUAAACUGUAAAUAGAAAGACGAUGUCCAUGAUAAUUUCUAUGUAGAGAAAGAAUGGAGGCUUUAAUGCAAAUAAGAAAAAUAGAGAUAACAAGAUCUUAAGAUGUUCAAUAUGUACAUGUAUAUCACAUGAAGGAAAUGAUUAUCUAUCGAAACAAAACGUAAAUAUCUUGAUAGGAUCAAGGGAACAUUUACUUUCAUUUCUGAUUUGUCCGUCGAUAGAGAUAGUGAAGAAAAAGGCACAUUAAUCAAAGUGUAUGUAUAAUAUCGACAUUUGGGAGUCACAGCUUUUUUUUACACUAAUGGAUGAGGGUGGUAUUUUAAAAGCAAUUUUUAUUAGACAAAAACUGAAUAAUUGGAGAACAUUUUCUCGUCGUCUGUAAGGUAAAGUCUAUCUGUAGGAAACAUCGCCUUGUCAUUUAAAUAAGGUGGCAAUUAUAGACCUACACCAAUAACUUUUAUUCAUACUAGACGAAGAUUUAUUAAACUUUAUAGAUUUAGUUUGAAUGCGAAUGUUGAAAAAACGGAAGUUGAUUUGAUCUGAAUUAAGAGCCAGUGUAAAAUGAAAUAUGGUAAAUCUGUAUUAAUACCCUCCUUUUUAUGUAAAUGCAUUGACCGUGUCAACGUGAACGGAUAAAUAAAAUAUUUUACCUUGAAAAUGA
This is a long non-coding RNA of Lytechinus pictus (painted urchin), 1168 nucleotides long. RefSeq lists it as uncharacterized. The record is from RefSeq and is a predicted model, not a curated record. The transcript has 2 exons. Lineage: Eukaryota; Metazoa; Echinodermata; Echinoidea; Temnopleuroida; Toxopneustidae.